This 497-nucleotide ribosomal RNA is filed under the name uncultured bacterium. RNAcentral describes it as "partial 16S ribosomal RNA". It matches the Rfam family "Bacterial small subunit ribosomal RNA", at positions 28 to 507 of the family's 1533-position model. The record is from RNAcentral.
GACGAACGCUGGCGGCGUGCCUAAUACAUGCAAGUAGAACGCUGAAGCUUGGUGCUUGCACCGAGCGGAUGAGUUGCGAACGGGUGAGUAACGCGUAGGUACCCUGCCUGGUAGCGGGGGAUCACUAUUGGAAUCGAUAGCUAAUACCGCAUAAGAGUCGAUGUUGCAUGACAUUUUCUUAAAAGGCGCAAUUGCAUCACUACCUGAUGGACCUGCGGUGUAUUAGCUAGUUGGUGAGGUAACGGCUCACCAAGGCAACGCUACAUAGCCGACCUGAGAGGAUGAUCAGCCACACUGAGACUGAGACACGGCACAGAGGGCUACGGGAGGCAGCAGUAGGGAAACGGGAGCAAUGAGCGGAAGACUGACCGAGCAACGCCGCGUGAGUGAAGAAGGUUGUCGGAUCGUAAAGCUCGGUUGUAAGGGAAGAACGAGUGUGAGAGUGGAAAGAACAGACAGUGACGGUAUCUGAUCAGAAAGGAACGGCUAACUACGUG